RNA transcript from Spinacia oleracea (spinach), 1192 nucleotides. It is a transcript of the gene named peptidyl-prolyl cis-trans isomerase FKBP16-4, chloroplastic, with no coding region annotated. The transcript is spliced from 10 exons. The record is from RefSeq and is a predicted model, not a curated record. Lineage: Eukaryota; Viridiplantae; Streptophyta; Magnoliopsida; Caryophyllales; Amaranthaceae.
AAUCUCUUCCUCGUUCAACCAAAACCCCCCGUUUUCAAUAAGGAAAUCCUGGUCCUGGAUAAAUCCUAACUGCAACUUCAAGUCUCCAAGUCCAACUCCAACUCCAACUCCAACUCCAACUGAAUCAUGGAACUCACCCUCUUCUCUCACUACCAUUCCCAAUUUCUCUACAAAUCCACUUUUAGUAGAAACUUGAUACCCAAUACUAGAAAUUUGACGUUAUUAAAUUGCAGUUGCUCAUCUUCAUCAUCAUCAAAAGAUCCUGCAAAACCAACAACAUUAUCUUUGACUAAUGAUGGAAGAAGGGCAUUCAUGAGUUGUUUACUCAUAGCAGCUGGUGGGUUGUGUAUCACUGAUCUGGCUGGGGCUGUCAGCACAAGUAGAAGAGCUCUUAGAGGAGCAAAAAUACCUGAGACCGAAUUUACAACCCUUCCCAAUGGUCUAAAGUACUAUGACUUGAAGGUUGGAGGCGGGGCAGAAGCUGUAAAGGGAUCUCGUGUAGCAGUGCAUUAUGUUGCUAAAUGGAAGGGCAUCACUUUUAUGACUAGUAGGCAAGGGAUGGGAGUUGGCGGAGGAACGCCUUAUGGAUUUGACGUUGGCCAGUCAGAACGCGGCACAGUUCUUAAGGGGCUAGAUCUUGGUGUUCAAGGAAUGAAAGUGGGUGGCCAGAGAAUAUUGGUAGUUCCUCCAGAACUAGCAUAUGGGAAGAAAGGAAUCCAAGAAAUCCCUCCAAAUGCAACAAUUGAGAAAAAUAGGGCACAUAUUGGAACAAGUCAGCAGUAAACCUCCACUGCUUCAUAUCCGCAUAAUAGUGUCUGGCACGGGCAUACCAGUCAUAACUCAAUUCGACGUGGAACUAUUGUCAAUCAAGCAAAGUCCUUUCGGGUCUCCAGUAAAGCUCGUGGAAGGAUGAUAUGAUCCUAUUCGUGUAUGGACAACUAUUGUUCAAUUUCUUUGACUGCAAAUAUUGUUUCUUGCGGAUGAAGAUUCUUCUCAACUAUCCAACAUUUUUUGUCAGUUUAUCCUUGUAUAAUCUUCAAAUAUAUCAAGCGAUGUCAGAGUAAUAUCAAGCCAACAUUUGUAAUGUCUAUCCGCAAAAUGUUAUUCUCCAAGUUUGCAAGUGUUACCCAAGUACUUGUAGAUUAGAUAGAGUAAUAGAUUUGCAAGAAAUAAGCAUUGAUCAUUUUCAUGU